AUAUCUGCCCUAUCAACUCUGAUGGUAGGAUAGAGGCCUACCAUGGUUGCAACGGGUAACGGGGAAUAAGGGUUCGAUUCCGGAGAGGGAGCCUGAGAAACGGCUACCACAUCCAAGGAAGGCAGCAGGCGCGCAAAUUACCCAAUCCCGACACGGGGAGGUAGUGACAAUAAAUAACAAGAUAGGGCUUNCAUAGGUCUUAUAAUUGGAAUGAGUACAAUUUAAAUCCCUUAACGAGGAACAAUUGGAGGGCAAGUCUGGUGCCAGCAGCCGCGGUAAUUCCAGCUCCAAUAGCGUAUAUUAAAGUUGUUGCAGUUAAAAAGCUCGUAGUUGAACUUCAGGCCUGGUCGUUCGGUCCGCCUCACGGCGUGUUUACUGUAUCGACUGGGCCUUCCUUUCUUGGUGAGCUCUGCAUGCCCUUUAUUGGGUGUGUGGAUGUCUGGCCAGGACUUUUACUUUGAAAAAAUUAGAGUGUUCAAAGCAGGCCUAUGCCCGAAUAUAUUAGCAUGGAAUAAUAGAAUAGGACGUUGCGGUCCUAUUUUGUUGGUUUCUAGGAUCGCCGUAAUGAUUAAUAGGGAUAGUCGGGGG
Molecule: ribosomal RNA, 588 nt
Filed under: Exobasidium rhododendri
Lineage: Eukaryota; Fungi; Basidiomycota; Exobasidiomycetes; Exobasidiales; Exobasidiaceae
Description: SSU rRNA
Rfam family: Eukaryotic small subunit ribosomal RNA
Source: RNAcentral